GUUGACCUCGGAUCAGGUAGGGAUACCCGCUGAACUUAAGCAUAUCAAUAAGCGGAGGAAAAGAAACCAACAGGGAUUGCCCUAGUAACGGCGAGUGAAGCGGCAACAGCU
This 111-nucleotide ribosomal RNA is filed under the name Ramularia vacciniicola. RNAcentral describes it as "partial 28S ribosomal RNA". It matches the Rfam family "Eukaryotic large subunit ribosomal RNA", at positions 1 to 109 of the family's 3401-position model. Lineage: Eukaryota; Fungi; Ascomycota; Dothideomycetes; Mycosphaerellales; Mycosphaerellaceae. The record is from RNAcentral.